GGCCGCGUGGCCUAAUGGCUAAGGCGCUAGAUUUCGGUUCACCGUUAUCACAUUCUCUAGAGAUUCCAGGUUCGAAUCCUGGCGUGGUCG
This 90-nucleotide transfer RNA is filed under the name Fusarium tricinctum. Its description in RNAcentral is "tRNA-Arg". It matches the Rfam family "tRNA". From Rfam's summary of the family: Transfer RNA (tRNA) molecules are approximately 80 nucleotides in length. Their secondary structure includes four short double-helical elements and three loops (D, anti-codon, and T loops). Lineage: Eukaryota; Fungi; Ascomycota; Sordariomycetes; Hypocreales; Nectriaceae. The record is from RNAcentral.